This 409-nucleotide ribosomal RNA is filed under the name uncultured bacterium. Its description in RNAcentral is "bacterial SSU rRNA". It matches the Rfam family "Bacterial small subunit ribosomal RNA", at positions 541 to 949 of the family's 1533-position model. The record is from RNAcentral.
UUGUCCGGAUUUACUGGGUGUAAAGGGUGCGUAGGCGGCUUUGCAAGUCAGAUGUGAAAUCUAUGGGCUCAACCCAUAAACUGCAUUUGAAACUGUAGAGCUUGAGUGAAGUAGAGGCAGGCGGAAUUCCCCGUGUAGCGGUGAAAUGCGUAGAGAUGGGGAGGAACACCAGUGGCGAAGGCGGCCUGCUGGGCUUUAACUGACGCUGAGGCACGAAAGCGUGGGUAGCAAACAGGAUUAGAUACCCUGGUAGUCCACGCUGUAAACGAUGAUUACUAGGUGUGGGGGGUCUGACCCCUUCCGUGCCGGAGUUAACACAAUAAGUAAUCCACCUGGGGAGUACGGCCGCAAGGUUGAAACUCAAAGGAAUUGACGGGGGCCCGCACAAGCAGUGGAGUAUGUGGUUUAA